Molecule: RNA transcript, 3171 nt
Organism: Dama dama (fallow deer)
Lineage: Eukaryota; Metazoa; Chordata; Mammalia; Artiodactyla; Cervidae
Gene: TBCCD1
Gene name: TBCC domain containing 1
Exons: 9
Source: RefSeq, a predicted model, not a curated record
GCUGGCCCGCGCCAGGGAGGGAGGAGAGGGACCAUCUCGCUUCGGGCUCCGGCUGGAAAGGCAGCCUUUGCGCUCGCCAGGUCUUGGGUCCUCUACAGACCCUGUCAGCUGGGGCUUCUCUGUUCCCGAAGUCUGAUCCGGGCGCGCUCAGGCUGCACAUCCCGCGUCCCAACCUGGACCGCGUCCUACCGCGGACCGCGGAUGAGGUGGCGGCGAAGCCUCGGGAGGACGGCCUUGGGCCUCACGCCGGUCUCCCCUCCUAAAAAACCAGGAUCCCAGGGCAUCCCAGGGGGAGCUUUUGAAGCGGAAAGGAGCUUCAGUUUAUGUUUAUGAAUUUAGCCGUCUCGAAUUUCGUGGUUAGACUAGCGGGUUCGUCUCCAGUGAGCUUUUGAUUGCUCGCUUUAGAGACAGGUGGACUACACUGGAGCGGGCCAAGAUCUUCCUCACAGAACUUGCAUCGUCUGAUUUUACUCAGAGACUUCAAAGAUAGCUGUCAUCCACCCUCUCACACCCUUUCUGGGGUUCGUGCUUCCAUGAUUCUUCACCUGGCUCUUACGUGGCCCUCCAUUUAAGACAACUCAUUCUGGUAUGCAAAGAAGCCUUUUCACGCAGAUGUUCUUAGAGAUAAUAUGGAUCAGUCCGGAGUUCUCCUCUGGGUGAAAGCAGAACCCUUUAUAGUGGGUGCCUUGCAGAUUCCCCCUCCAUCCAAGUUCAGUCUUCACUAUCUCAGGAAGAUAUCCACCUAUGUGCGAACACGGACCAUAGAGGGAGGUUACCCACGCCUGUCUUGGUCUACGUGGAGGCACAUUGCAUGUGGGAAGCUGCAGUUGGCUAAGGAUCUGGCAUGGCUUUACUUUGAAAUGUUUGAUAGUCUUGCACUGAAGACACCAGAGGAGCGCCUGGAAUGGUCUGAGAUUCUGUCCAACUGCGUGUCUGAGGAUGAAGUUGAAAAGCAAAGAAAUCAGCUUUCAGUGGACACCCUGCAGUUUCUGCUCUUCUUACAUAUACAGCAGUUAAACAAGGUCUCCUUGAGGACAUCUUUGAUUGGAGAAGAGUGGCCUAGUCCCAAACACAGAUCUCAGUCUCCUGACCUGACUGAAAAAUCCAGUUGUCAUAAUAAGAACUGGAAUGAUUACAGUCAUCAGGCUUUUGUCUGUGAUCAUCUGUCAGAUCUCCUUGAGCUGCUUUUAGACCCAGAGCAACUUACUGCAUCAUUUCAUUCAACCCACAGUAGUCUAGUCUCUCGGGAAGCUGUUGUGGCGCUCAGCUUUCUUAUCGAAGGUACAGUGAGUGGAGCCAGGAAGAUAUAUCCGCUCUAUGAACUUGCACUGUGGCAACCACUGCAUGCCGAAACUGGCUUCUCAAAGACCUCUAAGACUUUUUCUUUCUACAAGCUGGAAGCCUGGUUGAGAACCUGCUUGACUGGGAAUCCAUUCGGUACAUCUGCUUGCCUCAAGUCUGGCAAGAAAUUGGCUUGGGCUCACCAAGUUGCAGGGACAACCAAGAGAGCGAAGAUUGCCUGUAAUACUCAUGUGGCCCCAAGGAUGCACCGCAUGGUGGUGAUGAGCCAGGUUUACAAGCAAACGUUGGCCAAGAGCUCAGAUACUCUGGUGGGGGCACAUGUAAAGAUCCAUCGUUGUAACGAGUCUUUUAUAUAUCUGCUCUCUCCCUUACGAUCAGUGACAAUUGAGAAGUGCAGAAAUAGCACCUUUGUCCUGGGCCCUGUACAGACUGCUCUUCACCUCCACAGCUGUGACAGCGUUAAAGUCAUUGCUGUUUGCCAUCGUCUGUCCAUCUCGUCGACGACAGGUUGCAUCUUUCACAUUCUGACACCUACACGCCCCCUUAUUCUCUCUGGGAACCAGAGAGUAACUUUUGCCCCUUUUCAUACCCAUUACCCAAUGCUGGAGGACCACAUGGCCAGGACCGGCCUUGCUACAGUGCCUAACUAUUGGGAUAAUCCCAUGAUUGUGUGCAGAGAGAACAGCAGCCCAAGUGUCUUCCAACUCCUACCACCAUGUGAAUUCUACGUGUUUAUUAUUCCAUUUGAAAUGGAAGGGGACACAACAGAGAUACCUGGGGGUCUUCCAUCUGCAUAUCAGAAAGCACUGAGCCAAAGAGAAAAAAAGAUACAGGUCUGGCAGAAAACUGUGAAGGAAGCUCGUUUAACAAAACUGAAGCCCGCCAGGCUCCUCUGUCCAUGGAAUUCUCCAGGCAAGACUACUGGAGUGGGUUGCGUUUUCCUACUCCAGGGGAUCUUCCCAACCCCCAAACCUGCGUCUCCUGCAUUGGGAUCAAAGGAAGCAGUUUCAGGUACUUGUGGAAAACAAGUUUUAUGAGUGGUUGAUUAAUACAGGACACCGUCAGCAGCUGGACAGUCUUGUGCCUCCUGCAGCAGGCUCCAAACAAGCAGCAGGAUAAGACUUCCUCAUCGAAACACUGUCAUUUUCAGGGUCCUGGCAACAUGCGGAUGAACAGAAGAUGGUGCACAUGUUGAAACUGAACGGGGAAGGUGCUCUUGCUGCUUACGAGACUUUGGAGACUUUUCUUCCAUUUAAGACCUUUCUUUACGUUUCCUUCCAAUUUCAUUUGUUACUGUUUACACUGAAUUUUAGCCUAAACUUCUAUUCUAUAAACAUAUUGUUUAUAGAAUAUCAGAAGGCUCAUUUUAUGAUGCUAAAAUGAAAAAGUUGAUGAAGACAUUAUGUUAAUAUUUUUAAAAUGACUUAAGUAUUGAUUUAGUAAACCUUACAUUUUAAGUUGUAUAAUGAAAGGGUUUCAUCCUUUCUAGAGUUAAAUAAGAGUUUUAUAGUUCUUUGUAAGUAUUUAAAUGGAAAUUGCUACGUCUUUUAAAAAAGAAUUGAAAGUAUGACUUGUUGGAGUAUAAGUAUAAAUAUAGCAGAAAAGCAUUUAUAGAAAGAUAUUUUAGUCCUUAACGUAUACAGCAAUGAAAUUGUGUAGAAUUUUUAUUUUUCAUUUUCUGCUUCAAAUUUUCAAUAAAACUCUAAAAAGUAAUUUUCUCCUUUUGAUUAAAAAAUAAAGUUUUAACUUUAGGAAAGGUUUCCAAAGUCAUUCUGUGAUGUUAUAUCAAAAUAAAGUUUACAUUUGAUAGGAGAGUUGUUCUUUAAGAUAAAGGAAAACAGUUUAAUAAAUAAUCUGAUUGCUGAUAAA